UACGGGGGGGGCAAGCGUUGUUCGGAAUUACUGGGCGUAAAGGGCUCGUAGGCGGCCAACUAAGUCGGAUGUGAAAUCCCCAGGCUUAACCUGGGAACUGCAUCCGAUACUGGAUGGCUUGAAUCCGGGAGAGGGAUGCAGAAUUCCAGGUGUAGCGGUGAAAUGCGUAGAUAUCUGGAGGAAUACCGGUGGCGAAGGCGGCAUCCUGGGCCGGCAUUGACGCUGAGUGAGCGAAAGCCAGGGGAGCGAACGGG
Molecule: ribosomal RNA, 254 nt
Filed under: uncultured bacterium
Lineage: Bacteria
Description: partial 16S ribosomal RNA
Rfam family: Bacterial small subunit ribosomal RNA
Source: RNAcentral